Non-coding RNA from Solanum lycopersicum (tomato), 20087 nucleotides. The record is from RefSeq and is a predicted model, not a curated record. NCBI's taxonomy places the organism in Eukaryota, Viridiplantae, Streptophyta, Magnoliopsida, Solanales, Solanaceae.
AAAAUACCCUUCCAUUUCGACACACACGAGGCUAAACAAUCACAAAAACAAACCGUAAAUAAGUAUUCACAUGAGGGCAAAUUAGAAACAUUGCUUCUUUUAAGAUACUGAUGAACUUCCAUUGAUGAACCAGAAGCUGAAAGCUUAAGCUCAGAAAGAAGAGAAGAAGAUUGCAGAGAAGAGGAAUUUUUCUAAGGGUGGUUUACCUUUUUCUGCAAUUCUGAUGAAAAAAAAUGAAAAAAAAAACUCAAACAGCCCUUGAAGUUAUAGACUAAAAUGGUCCUUAAUGUAUGUAGUUGAGCUAAAUUCAUCUCUCAACGAAGAGACAGAGAGAGAGAAAGAGAGAAUUUUGAGGCUGUAAUUUGAUACUUGCAAGAGAAAUUAAGAGACCCAUAUAUUGGCGGGGGACCCGGAACGCAACCCGAGGUUAGCAGCCAUGGCGAUUGUCUUUAUUUCUCUUGUUUUUAUCAACAGAUCUGAGCUUCAAUUUUACUCUUGUAGCUUUGAUUGUAUUGUUAUUCUAAAAGGGUGUGUUUGGUAUGAAGAAAAAUGUGAUCUUUUUGUGAUGAGUUUCAUCAGUUUAAACUAAGGGCCUGUUUGAACAUGCUUUAUGGAAUCAUGAGGUUAAUAGAGAAAAAGGAUUUUUUUGUUAAGGGUGGUUGCUCCUCUCUAUUGUGCCCAUGAUUUUCUUUCAUAGCAAUUAAAGCAACAACCCUUGUUAAUGAAUACUCAAACACACAAUAGUUCAGUGUGUGGAGAAAAUUAAAAGAAAGAUGUCAAAUAAGUCUUCGUUUUGUUUUUGGUGACAGACUGAAUUGUACAAAAUGGUCUGUGAUCAUGACAAUGUUUAAUUGUCUGUGCUAGCAAAAUUGGGCAUUGAAGAUAGUCCGACCCCGUAUCUUGGCUUGGCAAAUCCCAGGAUGGCCUGUAACUGAAGCUCAGUCUUUUGCAUGCAACUGGUGUUUUGCAGCCAUGGCGGGGUUACCUUCUCUUUCUCUGAGCAAAAAUAUAUUAUCUGAGCUGCAAAUUUCUGAAAAUUGAACUGGGAAGCUCAGCAGCUGACCAUCUCAGACAAGUAAGGCUUUUGGUAAUUUAUUGUUAGGCUAUUCUUUGAUUUGAUUAUAAUUAUUGUAAUUAUUAAUUUUUUCUUGGGCCCAGCUAAGUUGCUCGGACUCCUAUGCGGGUGUUUAAGACGGGUGUGGAUGUCCAAUACGGGUGCGGAUGUCCAAUAUGGAUCCAGAUCUAAUUUUUAAGAUUUGGGGAUAUAGAUCCAUGGAUGGACACGGGUGCGGGGAUUCGCGUAAAAGUAAUUAAAAUAUCUAAAAGUAGAGUUAUAAAACCUAAAUUAUGAGAUAUUAUGUGGAAAGCUUGAGGAGAAUCCUGGAAGCAGAUGAAUGGAGAUGGAGUGACACAGAAAUGUCUAUGAAAGGUAUUCAAUUUUCUUCAAUUUCACCUUAACUUUUGUAUUGAGUACAGAAAAUUACUAAAACUGUCCCGACUUUCCCCAUCGAUUUUGGUCAAAGUACCCAUAAUCGGUUGACCAAAUCGGACAUGGAUCCCAAACGCACUCCCAUUUCGUAUCGACACGGGUGCGGCACCAAAAGUGAAGAGUUCGAGCAACUUAGGGGCGGAGAAUCUAUUGAGAACAACCUUUUAUCACACAGAAAUAGUAAUAAUAGAAUAGGGAUAAGUUCUGCAUAUACGGACGAUAUGGUUGUUGUUACAGAUAUUGGAUGUGCUUGUAGGCUGCUAAAGUGACUAGGGUUUUGCUUGAAUGUUCAUGUGCAUGUGAAAAGUAAUAGGUAGGCAUCUUAUAUUUUUUUCCCUAUAUAUGCUCUUGAUUGACUCCAUUAAUUUAUGUUAUAUCUUACAUUUAUAAACUAGUUUUAGAUGAUCAUUUAUUGGGCAGGACAUAUAGCUUCUUUUAUUUUCAAAUCAAAUUCUAAUUCUUUCCUUUGUAAUCUGUGCGUCUGCUUGAUGCUUUGUUAAUGGCAUUCUUCUUACUUCAUCAAAAAAAUAAAAUAAAAUUCUGAUAAAUAUUAAUUGCUCAUUGUCUAAAACAAGAAGCAUUAGUAAGUGAAACUAAAGAAGUGAAUGUAAUUUACUCUAAAUAUCGAAAUGCAACAAAUAAUAACAUAAUAUGUCAUCAUCUAAAGAAAAUUCAAGUGACUCAUGGGACAUAAUAUUUCUGGAUGGAAAUAUCCAUGAAAAAAUAUUGUUUUCGUAUUGUUUCAUGCGAUAGUUUAAUAAAAAAAGUCGGCCAGAAGGAGAAAUGAGGUCAAUUUCUUCUAAGGGUGGUUGCCCCUGUCUGUUGUGCCAAUGAUUUUCUGUAGCAAUCACACCAACAGCCCAUGUUGAUGCAAUACUCAGAAGCAGAAGAUGAUCCAUACAUCUCAGAGUGUGUAUUCUUAAGGAAUUUGCACUGAUGACCUUGUUUGAGGUAGUGAUAUAAUAAUAGCACUUUCUGGGUUAACAAAAUGGGGCAUUGGGUACAAUCGGAGCUGUAUCUUGACUGGAAAAUCCCAAGGAUGGCCUGCAACUGAGGUUCUCUCUUUUGCGCUGCUGGUGAUUUUGCAGCCAUGGUGAUGGUGUGGUUGCAUUCUCUUUAAGGGGUUGUAUGGUCGUUGGUUAGGAAAUGAGUUGUUCAUGUUAGGAGGUUUUUUUCGAAGGUGGUUGCCCCUCUCUGCAAUUCUAGUGAUUUCUCAUAUGAAAAGAAAAUGAAAUAAAAAUCAAACUUCUUAAUUCCUGGGGAAAAAUUAUCCGGACCCUGUUGAGAUUUUUUAAUCAAAUAGUCUAAUAUGUUGUGGAGUUGAACUAAAUUUUUCUCUCAAAGAAGAGAGAGAGAGAGAAAGAGAAUUAUGAGGCUUCAGUAAUACUUGACACAAGAGAAACUAAGAGACCCGUAUCUUGGCGGGGCAACCCGGAACACAACCCGAGGUCUGCAGCCAUGGCGAUGUCUUCAUUCUCUUGUUUUAUCAACUGAUGUCAACUUCAGUGCUCUUGUUUGGAUGGUUGUUACUUAAGUAUUGUAUUUUUAUUAAGGGUGUCUUUGGUAUGAAGGAAAAUGUUUGUUUCAUGAAGAAUUUCAUCAGUGUUUAAUUACUAAUGUAUCCCUCUGAGAAGAAGAAAGUUGUGAAAUUUUCUGGUGAAAACUAUAAUUUUUCCUAAAGAAGUGUUGGCCCAAAAAGAAAAAAUAAGGUUAUAGAGAGAUGGGAUUUUUUCGUUAAGGGUGGUUGUCCCCUCUCUGUUGUAGCAAUGAUUUUAUGUUUAGCAACUAAACCAACAACCCUUGUUCCUCAGCCAAACAUUAAUCAACAACUAUGAUUAUUGAAACAUAUGCACGGGCCGUGCAGUUUCUUGAAUCUACAACUUAAGCCGUAGAUGUCAGUUUGUGUGUGUGUAUUUUCUUCCUCCUUUUUGAGUAAUUGUGCAACAGAGGCUGUGAUGAUGACAAUGUUUUACUCUCUGUUCUACCAAAAUUGGGCAUUGAGGACAGUUUGACCCAUAUCUUGGCUUGGCAAAUUCCAGGUUGGCCUUCAACUGAGGCUCUCUCUCUUGCAUGCAACUGGUGAUUUUGCAGCCGUCGUGUGGUUGCUUCUCUUUUUCCAAAUGCAUUGUCUGAGCCUCAAGUUUCUCAGAAUCGAGCUGGAGACCUCUUGUGCUUUGAAAUACAUUAAAGUUUGCUCCAACGACAAAUCAAAAGAAUGAUGUAUCACAGAAAGAUGGGUACUUCAUCUUCUUGAUAUAUAAGCCCAUGAUUUUAUAGACAAUAACCAAAGAGAGCAGGUUUGCAGAGAGGAGGAGUUUCUGAAGGGUGGUUGCCCCACUCUGUAACUUCUUUGAUUUCUCAUAUGAAAAAGAAAAACCAAGCAACCUUUUAUAUCUUAGGGAAUUAUUGUUGACACCCAAGUUUCGACUCAAAUGGUCCUUUGUCUUAUGGAGUUUAACUGAUUUUUUCUCAUGAAGUUGUGGGGGGGGGGAUUCCGAGGCUGUGAUGAUACUUUCUUCUUUGGGAUUGGGGCAAGACAAAUUAAGAGAUCCGUAUCUUGGUGUGGCAACCCGGAUGGCGACCCACUUUCUGUCAUGCAACUGUUGAUUGCAGCCAUGGCGAUGUCUUCAUUUUCUUGUCUCAACAACCGAUCUGAGCCUCAAUUUUACUCUUAUUCGCUUGUUUGGAUGGUUGUUGCCUAUUGUAUUGUAUUGUUAUGCUAAAAUGGUGUCUUUUGUAUGAAGGAAAAUGCUAAGGUGGCCCUCUGAGAAGAAGAAAGUUGGGAAAUUUUCCAGGGAGUUCAAAAAGAGAAAUGGAGGUUAAUUGAGAGAAGGGAUUUUUUGUUAAGGGUGGUUGCCCCUCUCUGUUGUGCCAAUGAUUUUCCUUUUAGCAACUAAACCAACAGCCCUUGUUCAUGCAAUACAGAGACAAACAUCAGUCAGCAGCUAUGACAAUUGAAACAUAUGCAUGGAUUUUCUUCAAUCUACAGCUUCAGCUGUAGAUCUCAGUGUGGGUGUGUUUCUGAUUUCUACUUUUGGAGAAUCCGUGCAAAAGAGGCUGUGAUAAUGACAAUGUUUUUCUGAACAAAAUCGGGCACUGAGGACAGUUCGACCUGUAUCUUGGCUUGGCAAAUUCCAGGAUGGCCUGCAACUGAGGUUCUCUCUUUUGCAUGCAACUGGUGUUUUAGCCGCCAUGGCGAUGUAGCCUUCUCUUUGUUCGACCAACAGUAUCUAAGCCUCAAAUUUCUGAACUGGGGACCUCUUGUGCUUUGAGUUUGAAAUACAAUAAGGUUUUGCUCAGACAUCUUUAUAACAUCUGUUCUAUGUGAUAACAUUUCAGUUUUCACUAUAAGAGCCAUAUUUUUUCUGGAACUGAUUUUCAAAUUAUUGCAUAUUAUACGGUUCUAUAAUGUCAAGGGUCUAUCAGAAACAACUUGUCUACCUACACAAGGUAGGGGUAAGGUCUGCGUACACUCCACCCUCCCUGUCCCAGACCACACUUGUCGGAUUACACAAUGGGUAUGUCGUUGUUUGUUUGUUGUAGUUUCAUUUUUUUUCCUGUUCAUUUUGUCUAUAGGAAGUGAAAGACAUGAUGAACUAGAUGUUAGACUAGAAUUCAGUGCCUGAGCUGCUUUAAGUUCACAUUAGCUUCUUGUUCAACCUGAUCUCCAUUGCUAUAAGAAAAAUAUAGAUUGCUGUUACUGGGUUUUUUUUAAUAAGAAAUUUGUUUGUUUCCAUUGGCAUUAGCAUAAAGGAAGAGAAAGGUAUGCUUGUGAAAUGGAGGUUCCAAUUGGAUGUAAAGUGGAGGUGAAAUUGAGACCAAAUUAGUAUGCAUGUUCAUGUGGAUGUCAUUGUUGCCGUCUUCGGCUGCUUUUUAGUUGCUAAUCCCACUUCACCUGUCAGCAUGGAGGCUCUGAUGAGAAAUAUUUAAGUUACCUAUGGAUCUAAUAAAACUGUAUCUUGGCUUGGCAAUCCAAAUGUUACUGAAAUUGCAGCCAUGGCAGUGAAUUCCUUAUUUCUCUGAGCAUAUGGAUUGAAAAAGAAAACACAUACACGUGUAUCUUGGCUGGGCAACCCCGUGACAAGUGAAUUUGUGUCAUGCAACCGGUGUUUGCAGCCAUGACAAUUCUUCAUUUUUCUCGUCUUAUUUUCCUCAACAGAUCUGAGCCUCAAAUUCUCUUAGGUUGUCUAUGGUUGGGACUCUAAUGGAUCGGGAAUUUAAACUGAAUGUCCACCGAACACACAGUACAACCUUCUGGUCUGGACUCUGGAGUCUGACGCGCUACCAAUAUGCCAUGGAUCCUUACAGUGUCUUUGUAUGAUUAAAAACACUUUUUUUUCUGGAUGAAAUCAGUAUUUAGUUAGCAAUGAGGAUAACGAGUGAAGGGAUCUUCACAAAUCACCUGAAAUCUGAAUACAGGCUGUGAUGAUGAUUGCUUCUUUCUGGGAUAGCUACUUUACAGUGUGGAGAAAAUCUUACCCGUAUCUUGGCAGGGAGACCUGGUAUAGCAUCAUCUGUUAACGUGUCUGCCUUCAUGGCGUGGUCGCUUUCUCUUUCAUGUUCAUAGAAAAGCAAAAUCUGAGCCCUAACAGUUUAACGACAACCAUCUGCGAACCCAAACAGAAUGCACCAGCUGCAACUGAACCCGGGUCUGUACUUCAGCAGGGUACUAUUUUACCAUUACACCACUAGGACCGAGAAUUGAUAAUUUUUCCUCUGUUUUAUGUUAACAAGGCAACAGCAGAACCAUAUAACAAAUUAAAGGAAUAUUUAAUGAUGGGGCUGUGAUGAUUGCUUGUUAGUAGUAGUGAUAUUGCUAAUACUGGGCUGAUAUAUGGGGCAUGGUCACAAUCCAACCGGUAUCUUGGCGGGGUUACCAGGAGAGGUAGCAGCCAUGUCAGUUUCUGGUGGACUCAAUGGUGAUUAUUAAAUUGACAUCUGAGCCUCGUUAUGUACAUGAUGCACAUGUAUAUUGUCUGUAUCUCUCUCACACACACACAAAAAAAUUGUAUGGGUAAACCCGAAACCUAAACCCUAAACUUUGUGAAUGAGGCUAUGAUAUUAUUCUCCAGAAAGGAAGAUUGCAAUUCAGAUGUUUGAGCUGAUUCAUAUCUUGGCUAGGCAAAGGCAAGGAAUUUGUGAGGUUGUAUGUGCUCUCACAAAAGGCCUCUGCUUUCUGCAGCCAUGGUGGAAUAGACUCUUUCUGAUAGAUCAGAUGAGUGAAACUAUUAGGUAUUGAUAUUAAACAAGUUUGAAAGAUAUGGAGGUGAAUAUUGAUACUGAAGCUAGUUGGUGAAAUUAUCUACACAAGUCCAAGCUUUCUUGCCUUAUUUAAAUCUUGAAAUCCCAAGUUUCAGAGGCAGUGAAGUUUAAGCAUAAUGAGAAGUGAAAAUUAUUAGAGUUGAUUCAAGGCCUGGGUUGGUGAGUCUAAUCGGAAGGUCUUCGUUGUAAGGCAGCCGGUAAUUGCAACCACAGCAUGUUAACUCUACUAUUUCCUUUGAUUAAUAGUCGAAAAUCUGGGCCUCAUCCCCAACUUGGUUUAUUUGCAUUUUUUUUUACUAGUUUUUCUUUAAAUAACUUUAAACUACUUAUAGUGUGUGGUUCUUUGGUCUAUUAUUUUGAAUUUCAGGUUCUCCUUUAUUUUGAGUAGCCACUAGUUUGUUAAGGGUUGGAGAGAGUUAUGGCGUUUCCAAUUACCCAGGAUCAUCUGUCGUUGAUUCGAGCCAAAUUCUAACUUUUUUCUGUGUUCUUUUAUCUAAUUUCAUUUUCUUUUGGUAAUUUUUAUCCCAAUAAAGCAGUACUUGGAACCUUGCUUUGACUUUCAAGUCUGUUCAACUCGUGGAACUUCAGAUUGUGUCGAUACAAGUUUGAUGUUGGUGCUCUUUCAUUCUCUUACACUCAUCGAUGUGUAUAUGCAGCAGUUCAAGAGAGGCCUGUUUUCUCCAACACCUGCAGGUAAAUGAUUAAAUCUGAUCAGUAUAAAAUAUCCAGCAGCUGAUUGACCUGUUCAAAUUUGAAUUUUGGCAUCACAGAAAUUUCAAGCAGUUGUGUGAUGUUUAAAAACUAAGAUUUUGUUGGUUAUCUCUCAUGUUAGUUGAAACUGAGAUUUAAAGUCAGCAUAGAGUUGAGCUUUCUAAAAUUCUUGGAAUAGUUUGUGAUACAGUAUGAGCAUAGGCUGGAUGUUCUUUAGAAUUUUUCUUAAAAGAUCAAGAAUAGUGUGUCGAUUCUGAAUCAAGACAAAAGGUCAAAUGGCUUGUUCGACGCGAUCACACAAAAUGAGACUUUUCAUCGUUACCUAACGAUGAAGCGAUAUGAUACAAUGAAAUUUAAAUAACAAUCGAAACAAACAUUGCAGCGAAACUAAUAUCACAAUACAAUAAAUAACAACCAUACAAACAAGCUGUUAUGAUAAAAAAAGUUUGCAAUAUAUGAGAACUUCAUGACCAUCUUUGCGUACUAAAACAAUAAUGUCCUAAUAUGUUCCCUUGAUAAUUCAAAUCCACAAUAACCUUCCGUGGUAUAGUAUAUUUCUUAAGAUUUUCAUAAAUGAUAAAGAACUACUUUUUCAUUCCCUAUUAUGACCUUGGUCGGUCAUAGCGAACUUGGGAUUUGGGAUAUAAUAUUGUAGUGUUUAGCUGAAAUCUUCAACCAUUCUUUAGCCAAGAAAGGAAGAAUGAGACGUCAGAAGUAAAAAAUGGGAUUUUCUGUAAAGGGUGGUUGCCCUCUCUCUUUGCUAUGUCAAUGAUUUCUUUCUUCUCAAUUUAUUUAAGAAACCAACAGCCCUUUGAUUUUAAACAAUCAAGAAUUAUCUACACAUUUGGCCAUAGAAUUCCAAUAUUUUUAUGCAUAUGACCCAACAAAGAUAGCUGCUUUUACAAGACUUCGGAACCUAAAAAUGGGCUGUGAUGAAGAUUUGCUUCUUUCUGGCUAACAAUCUACUUCAUCGUGUUGAGAAGAUGUCACUGGUUCUUGGCGGGGCGACCUGGUAAGGCAUCAAUACGCUAACCAGUGUAUCUGCAGCCAUGGCCAUGUCGAUUUCUCUUUGCAUGUUCGUAGAACAGCAACAUCUGAGUCCUAAUGUGUACAUCAACCAUUUGAUAGUUGUUCUUUGGGAACUGAGAUACCCAAUUGCGUUUUUUCAGUUUUUCUCGAACACCCCAUUUCAGAGGCAGUGCUUUAUCAAUUUUUUAGCUCAAAAAUGAGGUAAUCGGAGUAAACAAGGAUUUUUUAGGGUGGUUGGCCAUCUCCGGUAUGCCAGUGAUUUUACUUAGCUCUAACCAACAGCCCUUUUUAGCAUAUGUAUGAGGUCUAGACACCUCUGUUGUGUCAGUUGAACGCUCCAACUUACAAGAUGAUCAUCUAGACACCUCUAGAGUUUUUGUGUUACGUGCACACACGAGACACGAUGGGGAUGAGUGGGAGUGUUUAGUUGCCAUUUGAGAUCAAGUUGAGGUGUCUAGAUGUGCACUCUCAAAGUUGGAGUGCUUACUUGCCAGUCAAGACCAAGUUUGGGUGUGUUUAUGAAUUAUGCCAUGUAUGUGUUUAAUUUAUGUCUGUUUCUGUCUAUCUGUGACUACUUUGCUUCUGUAUGACUGCAUUUUCAGAUAAAGCAGCAGCACAAGCAUAGAGAAGGGACAGUUAAGUAGACUUGCAGGGUUUCUGGUUAAAUUAUCUCUUAUAAAUAAGAGUGUUCUAUAGAAAAGUGGAAGUUCAGCCUCAAUAUUAAGAAUGAGUCCGACAGAGAGAAAAGGGAAUUCUUGGAGGGUGGUUGUCCGCUCUGUUUGGCCUAUGAUUUCCCCAUAAAAAAAAAUCAACAACCCUCUUUCGGAAGUACUAGUGCUGGUUUCUUGUUUUCUCUAAGUUCAGACCAAACAUCCCUCUAAUUUUAGCUUAUGUUAAUGGACUAUAUGGUCUUCCUUUUUCUGCUUCUGUAUAUACUAUAGCUGAUAUUUGCAAAUAUCCACUUUUAUGUCCCUGUAAAUACAAAGCUAGCUGUUUUUUGUAACAGUACUAAACCUUAAUGAGAUGUUCUAUUGAUGUUGGUUAAUCCGAAAUAGGAGCAAUCCGUGCAAAAACUGGAAAAAAAUGGGCUGUGAUGAUGGGUAACUUCUUUCUGAACUAUAAUCUACUUUAUUGCGUUGAGAAAAUCCAAUCCGUAUCUUUGGCGUGGCGAUAUGGUAUGGCAUCCAUAUGCAAAGCUGUGUCUUGCAGCCAUGGCAUGUGUUGCUUUCUCUUUGCAUAUUCAUAUACAGCAAAAUCUGAGCCCUAAAUGUUUUGACUAAAAAAUGAGGCAAUCGGAAAAAAAGAGUUUCAGGGUGGUUGACCAUCUCCAGUAUGCCAAUGAUUUUAUCCUUAGCUCCAGUCAACAACCCUUUUGUAUCUGUAUCUGUGACUACUUUGCUCUUGCGUGCCUUCUUUUUAAGGCAAAGCAGCAGCAAAAUCAUAGAAACAUGGAGUUAACCCAGUAUGAAGAACGGAAAAGGGCCAAAUACACCCCUCCACUAUGAAGAAUGAGGCCGACAGAAAGAGAAGGGAAUCCUGGAGGGUGGUUGCCCCCUCUGAUUGGCCUAUGAUUUCUCCUUCAACCAAAUCAACAACCCUCUGAUAUACUAGUACUGUUUUCUUGUUUCUCCGCGGUCAGCAAACAUACUCUGAUCUUAUCUUAUGUUUGUUAAAACUACUGGAAUUGUCCAAACGCCUACUUGUGGAAAAGUUCCCAUCUUUCAGAAGUGGCUAUGAUGAUAAUGCUUAUGGCAGAAUUCUCACAGUUUAGCCCAGAAAGGAAGAAUGAGACAUCAGAGUGAUGGUAUUUUUUGUAAAGGGUGGUUGCCCCCUCUCUGCCAUGUCCAUGAUUUCUUCUCCAUUCAUAAAAAACCAACAGCCCUUUCAGAAGAAAAAAAGAACAAGAAUGUUGACUUUUUUUUAAUUUUUUAUAUAUAUAUAUAUAUGCAUGCAAUGAAAAAACAAGGUAGCUGCUUUUAAUUGGUGAUUUACAAGAAUGUUGAUUGAUCUGAAAAAAUGGGCUGGGAUGAUGAUUUGAUUUUUUCUGGGCUAUAUCUACUUCACUGCGUUGAGAAGAUCCGAUCCGUAACUUGGCAGGGCGAUCCGGUAUGGCAUCAUCCGCAAACCGGUAUCUGCAGCCAUGGCGAUGUCGCUUUCUCUUUGGAUGUUUGUGGAACAGCAAAAUCUGAGCCCUAAAGUGUUAAGACUAAAACAUUCAUAUGUGUAUGUGUGAGAGUGUGUCUCUUUUUUCAGAUAAAGCAGCAGCAAAAGCAUUGAAAAGGGACAGUUAGUGGACUUACAGGGUCUCUGUUUAAAUUGUCUCUUAUAAAUCAGAGUAUUCUAGGGGAAUUAGUAGCUUAGUAGGAUGGUUGGCUUAUGAAUACCUGGACUUUCACCUUGUUGGUGAGGGUUCAAUUCUCCACCUUGUAAUCCCCUCCCCCUUUCCGCUUCGGCCCAGUUUUUUCAAAAAAAAUAAAAUAAAAUAAUCAGAGUGUUCUACAGAAAAACGGAGGUUCAGCCCACUGUUUAGAAUGAGUCCAACAGAGAAAAGGGAACUCUUAAGAGGGUGGUUGCCCCUCGGUUUGGCCUAUGAUUUCCCCGCAAAAAAAACCAACGGUCUUUUCAUAAGUACUAGUACUGUUUCUUGUUUUCUCUAAACUUAGACCAAACAUCCCUCUAAUUUUAGCUUGUGUUUGUGGGAUUUUACUGGAUAGGUUGUUGUUUGUCAAAAGUUGCUCGAAAUUUUCCAAAACACCUACUUGUAGGGAAGUUUCCGUCUUUCAAAUGAGGUUGUGAUGAUAAUGCUUAUAGCAGAAUCCCAACCAUAGUUCAUCCCAGAAAGGAAAAAUGAGACAUCAGAGAGAUAGGAUUUUCUGUAAAGGGUGGUUGGCCCUCUCUUCCAUGUCCAUGAUUUCUUCUCCAUUCAUAAAAGCCAACAGCUCUUUGAGAAUAACAGAACAAGAAAAUGAAAGAAGGGACUAUAAAUGCGUCUUCUUUUUUUUUUUUUGGGAACUGAAUUGAUAAUGUUUCUUCCUUUUUCUGCUUCUGCUACUGCUACUACUACAACUGAUUUUUGCAAAUAGCAUUUUUAUGUUCCUGUAUGCUAAGUUGCUCUGACUCAGGUGCGGCAGUCCCAUAUGGGUGCAGAUAUAGUGGUCGGAUCCUCUAUGAUCAAAUUUUAAGAUUCGGGGAUACGGAUCCAUGUAUGGAUACAAGUGUGGGGAUUUGGCUAAGAAUAAUUCAAAUUUCUAAAAAUAGAGUUAUUAAGCCUAAAUUAUGAGAAAUUAUGUGGAAAGCUUGAGAAUAAUAUUGAUCAAGAGUAGAAUCUUGGAAGGAGAUAAAAGGAAAGAGAGUGACAAUUGAAAUUUAUAUGUACAAAGUAUGUCAUUUCUUCAAUUUCACCUUACUUUUUUGUUUUGAUUAGUAGUGAUCAUUGAAUCUUUCCAGAAUUUCUCCCUCGAAUUUGGUCAAUGUACCGAAAACCGGUUAACCAGAUCGGGUACGGAUCCCAAAUAUACACCCACACCUACGUCAUGUCGACAUGGAUGCGACACCGAAAGUGAAGAGUCCGACCAACUUAGCUUGUAUGUAUAAACAACAACAGCAUACCCAGCGAAUUCCCACUUGAGGUCUUGAGGAUAGGAUGUAGUAGACCUUACCCUACCUUUAUUGUGGAGUAGAGAGGCUGUUCUGAUAGACCGAAGCAGGAUUGCAGGAAAAAUAUAACAACCAAAUAGCAAAAUGGGUGAUUUUGUGUCCCUGUGUAUGUACAAGGUAGAAUGACAACCCAUGUUGCUUGAUCUGAAAAUGGGCAGUGAUGAUGGUUUGCUUCUUUAUGGGCUAUACCCUACUUCACUGCAUUGAUGAAAUCUGACCAGUACCUUGGUGGGGCAAACCGGUAUGGCUACCAUUUGCAAACUGGUGUCUUGCAGCCAGGCAUGUGUUGCUUUCUCUUUGCAUGUUUGCAGAACAGCAAAAUCUGAGCCCUAAAAGUUCACGGGAAGUAUUGAAUGGAUGUCCAUUCUCUGGAACUGGAAAAUUCAAUUGGGUUCUUCAGUUUUUCGUUCAGAUGCAGUUCUCUAUCAAAUGUUCAGCUUAAAAUGAGUCAAUCGUAGAAAACAAGAGAUUUUUCAGGGUCGUUGACCAUCAACAGCAUGCCUAUGAUUUUGUUUUUGCUCUAAUGAACACCCCUUUUAGCAGAUCUAUGAGAUCUCUCUGUGUGUGUGUGUCUCUCUCUCUCUCUCUCUCUCUCUCUAUCUAUCUAUCUAUCUAUCUAUCUCUCUCUAUAUAUAUGUGUGUGUGUGUGUGUAUAUAUAUAUAUAGAGAGAGAGAGAGAGAGAGACUUUUGCUUCUGCUGCUACAAUAGCUGAUUUUUGCAAAUAGCCACUUUUAUGUCUCUCUAAAUACAAGAUAGCUGCUUUUAAAUGGUGCUAAGGGCACAAGUCAACUGAUGUUGAUUGAUAAAAAUGGGAUGUGAUGAUGAUUUGCGUCUUUCUGAGGUAUAAUCUACUUUUGAGAAAAUCCAACUUGCGUCUUGGCAGAGUGACUCAGUAUGGUAUCAGUUCAGCAGAAACCUCACCCAUUGUUUAGCCCAGAAAGGAUAAAUGAGACAUCAGAGAGAAAAGGGGAUUUCUGUAAAGGGUGGUUGCCCACUAUCUGUUAUGUCCAUGAUUUUUCCUCCAUUUAUAAAACAUCAACAACCCUUUGAGAAAAAGAAAAGACCAACAAUUGUGUAGGCAUUUGGCCAUAGAUUCCAUUUAUAUGCAUGUAUGUGUGUGUGUGUAUAUAAUAUAUAUGUAUAUGCUUUUUCCUUUUUCUGCUUGUGCUUCUGCAUGGUAGAAAUGAUACAACAAGAUAGCUAUUUUAUUAGGAGUCAGAACCUAAAUGAGGUGUUUAAUUGAUAUGGAGAGAUCUAAAAAUGGGCCGUGAUGAUGAUUUUCUUCUUCCUGGGCUAAUAAUCUACUUCACUGCAUUGAGAAGAUCUGACCCGUAUCUUGGUGCAACAUCAUCUGCAAAUCGGUGUCUUGCAGCCAUGGCGUGUGUCGAUUUCUCUUUGCAUGUUCAUAUACAACAAACUCUGAGCCCUAAAGUGUAUGGCAAGCAUGUGAUGGCCUUAAAUGUAUGGUCGUUCUUGGGAACUAAGAUACCCACUUCAGUUUUUCAGUCUUUGUUGAACCCCAUUUUCUGAUGCAGUUGUCCAUCAAAAUUUAUACUAAAAUGAGGUAAUUGGAGUAAAAUGGUAAUUUUUCUGGGUGGUUGACCAUCUCUGGUAUGCCAAUGAUUUUAUCUUAGCUCUAACCAACCGCCCUUUUAUCAUAUCUAUAAUAUAUUAAAAGCAUGGAGGUCAUUAGCGAAGUUUUUUGCUUUUUUUACCCUUUAAAACUAGAUUUCACACUAGAUAAAGUUGUCAAAUCAACCAAAUAUGUGUUUGUGUUCAAGGAAUGAGGCUUUUCUAUGGAACUCGAGAAAGGUUGAGAUUUUCCAAGGGUGGUUAGUCCCUUCCUCUGAAGUUCAAUUUAGCCUAUGAAUUUUUCAGUACUUCUGUUACAAUGAGAUAGAUAAACAACCCUUUUAUCAUCUAUGCCAAUAAUGUCUUGCUGAUGAUGAUAAUCAGCCAUCGCUAUGGUAGAAAACAUCUAAUUAGAUUUUCAGAAAACAGAAGAAAAAAAAAAGAAUUACUUUUUCCUUCACUGAUGUUCUCUUGGUCUGGCAUGUCACGAGCAACAGAACUUGUGAAUUGGGUGUUGUGCUAUAUAUAUUUGUAUAACAUAAGUGUGUUUUUGCAAAACCCUCAUCAUAGUUUAGCCCAUGAAUGAAGAAUGAGACAUCAAAGAGAGCUGGGAUUUUCUGUAAAGGGUGAUCUCUUUAUGUCCAUGAUUUCUUUCUCCAUUCAGAAAAAAAAAGAGUCCUCUGAGAAAAAGAAAAGAUCAAGAAACUGAAAACAACCAUGCUGGCGUUUGGCCAUAGAUUCCAAAUAUAUAUAUGUUUGUUUCUGCUUGUGCUUCUGCAAGGUAAAAAUGACACAACAAGGUAGCUGCUUUUUUUAAGAGUUCGGAACGUAAAUGAGGUAUUUUAUUGAUGUUGAUUGAUCUGACAAAAUGGGCUGUGAUGAUGAUGUGCUUCUAUCUGGACUAUAAUCUGCUCACUGCGUUGAGAAAAUCCAACUAGUAUCUUGGCAGGGCGACCCAGUAAGGCAUCCAUUUGCAAACCGGUGUAUCUGCAGCCAUGGCAAUGUCUCUUUCUCUUUGCAUGUUUUUAUACAGCAAAAUCUGAGCCCUUUAGUCUAUGGCAAGCGUGUGAUUAUCUUAAAUGGAUGAUCAUUUCAGGAACUGAGAUACGCACUUGGAUUUUUCAGCUUUUGUUGAACCCCAUUUUUUAGAUGCCGUUCUCCAUCAAAAUUUUAUCUCAAAAGGAGGUUAUCGGAGUUAAAAAGGAUUUUUCAGGGUGGUUGACCAUCUCCGAUAUACCAGUGAUUUUAUCUUAGCUCUAAUCAACAGCCCUUAUAUCAUAUAUAUAAAUAAUAAUAAUAAUUGGAUGUCUCUUUCUGUCUCUCAGUCUGUUACUGCUUUUACUGGCAAAGCAGCUGCAAAAGCAUAGAAAAAAUGGAGGUUCAACCCAGUGUGAAGAAUGAGGCCAACAGAGAGAAAAGGGAAUUCUUUGAGGGUACCUCUGCUCGGCCUAUGAUUUCCCCAUAAACAAAAUUAACAACCCUCUUCUGAAGUACUAGGUACUGUUUAUUGUUUUCUCUAAAUUCUUUGAGGGUGGUUGCCCUCUCUAAUUGACCUAUGAUUUCUCUGACCAACCAAUGGUAUAUGUUUCUAUUGAUGAUUAGUUGAUAGCAGCAGUAGUAAUACUCCCUCUCUUCCAAUUCACUUGUCUUGAACCUGUUCAUUAUUGAUAUGGAAAAGAGUCCAUCUUUCGAAAGAGAGUGAUAAUAUUGUCAAUUCUGGGCAAGGAGAAAAUUCGACUCGUAUCUUUGUGGGUCAAACCCAGAUUAUGUAACUGGUUGAUUUACAGCCACGGUGUUGUCAUCUUUUCUUUGCCCCAUUUUACACAGAUCUGAGCCUCAACAUCAGAUGAGUUCCGGAAUCCAAAUCCCGAAGUUCAUUUGAUGGAAACCUUAUUCAUUUUAGCUCUAAAGGACAAGCCAACCGGAGGAAAAUGGGCCUUUUUGCAGGGUGGUCGACCAUCUCUGGUAUGUCAAUGAUUUAUUUGCUCUAAUAAACAAUCCUUUCAGCUUUUGUAUGUGGAUGAAGUGCACAAAUAGCCGCUUUUAGACCAUUUCCAAGGUCAUUGGGUGUUGUAAUUUCCUGUAAUUUAGGACCCUGUCUAAAGAAUAGCUGAAGUUUACAAAGUCACAGGAACUUACAGUUUACAGAGUAAGGGAAGCUUAGCCCAGUAUGAAGAAUGAGGCCAACAGGGAAUCAAAAGGGGAAUUUUUUUUGGAGGGUGGUUGUCCACUCUGGUUGACCUAUGAUUUCUCUUUCAACCAAAACAACAACCCUCCGUUGGUAUAUUUGUGAAACUUUCCCAAAACUAAAUAAAUAAAUAAAUCCGUUGCCGUUGAUGUACUGUUUCUAGCAGAAGUAGUAAUGUCAUACUCUCUCCAUUUCAAUCUACUGGUCUGGAGAACUGUCCACAAAUUGGAUAGAAAAGGUUCCAUCUUUCUCAAAGAGGCAGUGAUGAUAUUUCUGAUUCUGCGCUGAAAAUCAGGGCAUGGAGAAAACUCGACUCGUAUCUUGGCAGGGCAAACCCAAAUCAGGCAACCCGUUCAUUUUGCAGCCAUGGUGUUGUCGGCUUCUCUUUACCCCCAUUUUGCACAAAUCUGAGCCUCAACUUCCAAUGAGUCACUUCGAGUACUCUGGGAUCGAAACCCAGAAUCUCAUUUGAUGGAAACCCUGAUCCCUGUUCAUUUUAGCUCGAAAACAUGAGGCAGUCAGAGAAAAAUGUGGAUUUUUUCAGGGUGUUAGACCAUCUCUGGUAUGUUAAUGAUUUUUUCUUUGCUCUAAUAAACAACCCUUUUAGCUUUGUUUGUGGACAAAGUGCAGAAAUUGCUGUUUCAGAACAGUUCCAAAUUCAUUGGGUGUAUUCCUGGAUUUGCACUGUAAUGGAAGCUCAGCCCAGUGUGAAGAAUGAGGCCAACAGUGAGAAAAAAGGAAUUUCUUUGGAGGGUGGUUUCCCCCUGUGAUUGGUCUAUGAUUUCUCCUUUAACCAAACAAACAACCCUCUGCAAAAGUAGAAACAACCAACAAUAUUUGUCGCCAUUGCCUUAAAUGGUGGCAAUAUGAUGUUGAUGUAAGUAAUACUAUUCAAUUUUCUGAUCAUUCUGAGCUAGCUUAGACCAAAUACUUUUGGUAUGAAAUGCUCACAGAUCUGAAGGUCUCCAUUUGUUUCAUUAAUAUUUCUUGCUAAAGUUAUCAAACUGGCUCUUAUGGAAAAGUUCCCAUUUUUUCUGAAAGAGGCAGUGAUGAUAUUUUGCCUAUCUGAGCUGCCGUUUGGGGCAUGGAGACUAUUGACCCGUAUCUUGGCAUGGCAAACCUGGAUGCUUGUGAUCGAGUCUUCUCUUUCACAUGCGACUGGUUCUUUUUCAGCCAUGGCGUUGUCACCUUCUGUUUGCCCCAUUUUUGCAGUUCUGAGCUCAGUUUCCAACUAGUCCAACUGGAUGUCCCAGGACUCGAAGAGUUCUGAACCUAAAUGAUGAAAUAUCUCUGCAUGCUCACAUAUAUCAUGAAAAAAUGUCCAAAAUAGUCCCUUAUUGAGGCAGUGAUGAUUCAGUCUAUCCUCUUGAGCUAUUAAUUGAGCAUUGAGGGUACCCGAUGGCAACUUGGCGUGGCAAUUACCUGGAUGCCUGUGAUUUUGUUGCAUGCAACUUGGGGAUAUUUGCAGCCAUGGCAUGGCAGGACUUUCUGUGCCUGAUGAAGAACUGAGCCUCAAUUGUCACAUUCAUCUUACUCUGGAUGUAUUUAGUAUGGAGGAAAAUAUUUUAGUCUAGCCGCCCUAAAGUGGCUAAAUGAUGUCAUUUCUACAACGAAGACCUUUGACAUGAGGCUGUGAUGAUAUUUUGUCCUCAUGAGAUGGUUGAGCCGUGCUAUAUCUUGGCGUGGCAGUUCUUUUGUGGUAUUGUGAGAUAGUGAAGCUAUUUUUGUUUGUGUCUCACGAAGCAUCCUUAAGCUUGCAGCCAUAGCGGGGUUUAGCUUAUGUAUGAGAAAAGGCGAAUCUGAGCCUCCCAAAUCUCUAUUUGUGUUGGAAGAAUGAGGCUUUUUAUGGGAACUUGAGGAAGGUUGAGAUUUUCUAGGAUUUUUUGCUCCCUUCUGAAGUUCAAUUUAGCCGGUGAUCUCCCUAUUCCUUUCUUACACAGUAAAUUACACCAAUGACCUUGAUAAUGGGUGGUCUUGACCCCGCUUCCCCAUGGAAAACCUUCAAGUCGAAGACUGAAUUCGAAAGUUCUGCCCAUGGAGUAAGUGGGUCAAAGACCACGCACAUCUACAGGCCAUUCUUGUAAUUCACCCUAGUUUACUGCAUUGAGAAAACCUGAACCGUAUCUUGGCAGGGCGACUAGGUAUGGCAUCAUUUGCAAACUGGUGUCUGCAGCCAUGGCGUUGUCCUUUUCUCUUUGCAUGUUCAUGCACAACAAAAUAUAAGUCCUAAAGUCUGUGGUUAAUAUCUCAAAAGGUCACUCAACUGAUGGGGAUUGGCAUGGCAGCUUUAAGGCUCCGUGAGAUAUGGGAACUAUCUUACUGGACUAUUAAUGCUUGCAGCCAUGCGCCCAUGUCCAUUGUUUAGCUUUUUGAAUGACAAAAGGCAAAUCUGAGCCUCCAAGUAUAUCUCUGUGUUCAGUAAAUGAGGCAUUUUAUUGAACUCGAGAAAGGUAGUGAUUUUCUGAGGGUGGUUAUUCUCUUUUCUCUUAAGUUCAAUUUAGCCAAUGAAGUUUCCUAUGCUUUUGUUAGACAGAUAUAGUUUAACAGCCCUCUCAUCAGCAAAAUGUUCUUGAUGAUGACGAUGAUUGCCAUGGUUAUGAUAAUAAUAAUAUUAAUAAUAAGCAAAAUUACGUUUCCCCCCUCAACUUUUCUAGAAAAACCCAAAUCCUCAACCCUAAACUUUGUGAUGAGGCUGUGAUGAUAUUCUCCAGGAAGUUUGAAAAUCAGAUUUUUAAGCUGAUUCAUAUCUUGGCUAGGCAAAGGCAGGGGAAUUCAUGAGGCUGGUUCUUACGUGCUCUGUCACACGUAUCUGCUUUUUGCAGCCAUGGUGAAGUAGCCCUUUUUUUCUGAUUGAUUUUCACUCAAAAUCUGAGCCUCUUUUCUGUUUAAAGUUUUGGUUCUACAAUAUGUAGUCUUUUUUUUUCAUCCUUCGUACUAUCAGCACAUAUAGGAAGAGUCCCCUUUGAGAAAUGAAACUUCCUAUGUAUCCCUCUAUACAAUUUCCAUAGAUUGUUAGGUACACUGAGAUGAAAUAAGUCCAAAGGGAAUGGAAGUGGAUAUUUAGGAUCCAUAUAAUGUCUUUAAACAGUUUGAUAUUGAAGCUGGUUUUUGCUGCAUUUAUCUACACUACUCAAACUUUCAUGCCUUUUUAGAUCCUGAAUGCACCAAGUUUUCCAAGGCAAUGAAGAUGUCAUAUUGAAAAUGAAAAUGUGAAUAAGAUGAGAGUUGAUUCAUGGCCUGGCUUGGCCAAGUCCAAUUGGAAGGUCUUGUAAGGCAAUUGUUGCUUGCAACUGCAGCAGUGUUAACUCUGCUCUUCCUCCAUUUUGGAUUAAAUAAGCGAAAAUCUGAGCCUCAUUCUUAACAUAGUUCAUUUUCUUUUUUAACCUGGUCUUUCUGGAAAGAGACUUAGAUUACCAUCAUUCUGGAACCACUGAAUCAACAGCUUCGGCUGCCACCGCCAUAACCCUAAAGAAAAAAUUCUUUUCUCGGUUGAGUAAAUGCAUUUGUUAUCUGGUGAAGGUGAAUCCGUACCUAAACAUGAGUAUGUCAGCUAACAGUCCGUUCUACAGUUCUUGUCGCGUCUGGCAUUCUUUUCAGGUGAACAAUGUUGCAUUUCAUCUUUGCUGGGUGGCGGACCGGUGUCAUUUCAAUUGUUGGUGGUACUGAUGGUAAAGAUUGCUGGCUUUGGUUGAAUGAAAAUUGGAUCCGCCCUCAUGAAAAGUACAAGGAAAAACCAGCUUAUAUUGAACCUGAGGAUGAAGUGUAGACGCCAGUCGGUGACAGAAGAGAAUGUAGCUUCAAGAAUGAGGCAAGCCCACCCACCCCUCGUGUUGUCGCUGAGCAUUGCCAGGGGCCACAACGCCUGUGUAUCACAUUGCCUCAGCUUCCCUACUUUGCAUGAGACCUCAAUGAUGCAAUUCUCUGGUUCUGGCUACUGAAGUUCUGAGAUAAUGCUUUGUUCUUUAAAAUGUUAGCAUUUGCUAUCAAAUGCACCAUGUUUGUAUUUUUCUUACCCAAGAAUGUUUAUUAAUAUGGACAAUAUUUCUGUUGACAAAUUUUGUGCUUUCUUUGACACCAAAGUUUUCAUUUUUAUCCUCUUGUAAUUGCAGCAUCAAAUUUGGAAUAUUGUACUAUUUGCAUUUGAUAGUAUGUUAUAUAUACUCUAUCGUUUCAAUUUA